GACGAACGCUGGCGGCGUGCUUAACACAUGCAAGUCGAACGGAAAGGCCCUGCUUUUGUGGGGUGCUCGAGUGGCGAACGGGUGAGUAACACGUGAGUAACCUGCCCUUGACUUUGGGAUAACUUCAGGAAACUGGGGCUAAUACCGGAUAGGAGCUCCUGCUGCAUGGUGGGGGUUGGAAAGUUUCGGCGGUUGGGGAUGGACUCGCGGCUUAUCAGCUUGUUGGUGGGGUAGUGGCUUACCAAGGCUUUGACGGGUAGCCGGCCUGAGAGGGUGACCGGCCACAUUGGGACUGAGAUACGGCCCAGACUCCUACGGGAGGCAGCAGUGGGGAAUAUUGCACAAUGGGCGGAAGCCUGAUGCAGCAACGCCGCGUGCGGGAUGACGGCCUUCGGGUUGUAAACCGCUUUCGCCUGUGACGAAGCGUGAGUGACGGUAAUGGGUAAAGAAGCACCGGCUAACUACGUGCCAGCAGCCGCGGUGAUACGUAGGGUGCGAGCGUUGUCCGGAUUUAUUGGGCGUAAAGGGCUCGUAGGUGGUUGAUCGCGUCGGAAGUGUAAUCUUGGGGCUUAACCCUGAGCGUGCUUUCGAUACGGGUUGACUUGAGGAAGGUAGGGGAGAAUGGAAUUCUUGGUGGAGCGGUGGAAUGCGCAGAUAUCAGGAGGAACACCAGUGGCGAAGGCGGUUCUCUGGGCCUUUCCUGACGCUGAGGAGCGAAAGCGUGGGGAGCGAACAGGCUUAGAUACCCUGGUAGUCCACGCUGUAAACGGUGGGUACUAGGUGUGGGGUCCAUUCCACGGGUUCCGUGCCGUAGCUAACGCUUUAAGUACCCCGCCUGGGGAGUACGGCCGCAAGGCUAAAACUCAAAGGAAUUGACGGGGCCCCGCACAAGCGGCGGAGCAUGCGGAUUAAUUCGAUGCAACGCGUAGAACCUUACCUGGGUUUGACAUGGAUCGGGAGUGCUCAGAGAUGGGUGUGCCUCUUUUGGGGUCGGUUCACAGGUGGUGCAUGGCUGUCGUCAGCUCGUGUCGUGAGAUGUUGGGUUAAGUCCCGCAACGAGCGCAACCCUUGUUCACUGUUGCCAGCACGUUAUGGUGGGGACUCAGUGGAGACCGCCGGGGUCAACUCGGAGGAAGGUGGGGAUGACGUCAAGUCAUCAUGCCCCUUAUGUCCAGGGCUUCACGCAUGCUACAAUGGCUGGUACAGAGAGUGGCGAGCCUGUGAGGGUGAGCGAAUCUCGGAAAGCCGGUCUCAGUUCGGAUUGGGGUCUGCAACUCGACCUCAUGAAGUCGGAGUCGCUAGUAAUCGCAGAUCAGCAACGCUGCGGUGAAUACGCUCCCGGG
This 1343-nucleotide ribosomal RNA is filed under the name uncultured bacterium. RNAcentral describes it as "16S ribosomal RNA". It matches the Rfam family "Bacterial small subunit ribosomal RNA", at positions 28 to 1378 of the family's 1533-position model. The record is from RNAcentral.